Molecule: ribosomal RNA, 301 nt
Filed under: uncultured bacterium
Lineage: Bacteria
Description: partial 16S ribosomal RNA
Rfam family: Bacterial small subunit ribosomal RNA
Source: RNAcentral
CAGCAGCCGCGGGAAUACGGAGGGAGCUAGCGUUAUUCGGAAUUACUGGGCGUAAAGCGCACGUAGGCGGCUUUGUAAGUUAGAGGUGAAAGCCUGGAGCUCAACUCCAGAAUUGCCUUUAAGACUGCAUCGCUUGAAUCCAGGAGAGGUGAGUGGAAUUCCGAGUGUAGAGGUGAAAUUCGUAGAUAUUCGGAAGAACACCAGUGGCGAAGGCGGCUCACUGGACUGGUAUUGACGCUGAGGUGCGAAAGCGUGGGGAGCAAACAGGAUUAGAUACCCCAGUAGUCCCUGUCUCUUAUAC